Molecule: transfer RNA, 89 nt
Filed under: Clostridiaceae bacterium
Lineage: Bacteria; Bacillati; Bacillota; Clostridia; Eubacteriales; Clostridiaceae
Also listed under: 7 other names
Description: tRNA-Ser
Rfam family: tRNA
About the family: Transfer RNA (tRNA) molecules are approximately 80 nucleotides in length. Their secondary structure includes four short double-helical elements and three loops (D, anti-codon, and T loops).
Source: RNAcentral
GGAGAGAUGUCCGAGUGGUUUAUGGAGCUGGUCUUGAAAACCAGUGAUGCUGAAAGGCACCGGGGGUUCGAAUCCCUCUCUCUCCGCCA